AAUCUGUUUGAACAUUGAUUCAA
This 23-nucleotide small nuclear RNA is filed under the name Arabidopsis thaliana (thale cress). RNAcentral's name for it is "snRNA_18795". The record is from RNAcentral. Lineage: Eukaryota; Viridiplantae; Streptophyta; Magnoliopsida; Brassicales; Brassicaceae.